AGUCUCCCUGGAACCAAGCAGCCAAGGCAGGCUAAUGGUGAAGGCCCAGGCACAGUAAUGGUCCCCUGGAGAUGGAGUCCUGCUCUGUCAUCCAUGCUGGAGUGCAGUGGCGUGAUCUCAGCUCACUGCAACCUCCGCCUCCUGGGUUCAAGUGAUUCUCCUGCCUCAGCCUCCCAAGUAGCUGGGAUUACAAGUGUGCACCAUCACACCCUGCUGAUUUUUGUAUUUUUAGUAGAGACAGGGUUUCACCAUGUUGGCCAGG
Molecule: long non-coding RNA, 262 nt
Filed under: Homo sapiens (human)
Lineage: Eukaryota; Metazoa; Chordata; Mammalia; Primates; Hominidae
Description: non-protein coding lnc-FCHSD2-2:12
Source: RNAcentral